Molecule: non-coding RNA, 199 nt
Filed under: Acidomonas methanolica
Lineage: Bacteria; Pseudomonadati; Pseudomonadota; Alphaproteobacteria; Acetobacterales; Acetobacteraceae
Also listed under: 1 other name
Source: RNAcentral
UAGGAAGCGUGUCGUCAUGGUUCCGCGCGCCGUUCCGGCGUGAGGCCAAGAGGGAAGCCGGUGGAAAUCCGGCGCUGCCCCCGCAACUGUCAGCGGCGAAUCGCGCGCCAUGAUGUCACUGGGUCCGCGAGGGCCCGGGAAGACGGCGCGAGGAUGACGACCCGCGAGCCAGGAGACCUGCCAUGACGACAGACAUGCC